Molecule: ribosomal RNA, 297 nt
Filed under: Enterobacter cloacae
Lineage: Bacteria; Pseudomonadati; Pseudomonadota; Gammaproteobacteria; Enterobacterales; Enterobacteriaceae
Description: partial 16S ribosomal RNA
Rfam family: Bacterial small subunit ribosomal RNA
Source: RNAcentral
CAGAGAGCUUGCUCUCGGGUGACGAGUGGCGGACGGGUGAGUAAUGUCUGGGAAACUGCCUGAUGGAGGGGGAUAACUACUGGAAACGGUAGCUAAUACCGCAUAACGUCGCAAGACCAAAGAGGGGGACCUUCGGGCCUCUUGCCAUCAGAUGUGCCCAGAUGGGAUUAGCUAGUAGGUGGGGUAACGGCUCACCUAGGCGACGAUCCCUACCUGGUCUGAGAGGAUGACCAGCCACACUGGAACUGAGACACGGUCCAGACUCCUACGGGAGGCAGCAGUGGGGAAUAUUGCACA